Molecule: long non-coding RNA, 1369 nt
Organism: Gambusia affinis (western mosquitofish)
Lineage: Eukaryota; Metazoa; Chordata; Actinopteri; Cyprinodontiformes; Poeciliidae
Exons: 3
Source: RefSeq, a predicted model, not a curated record
UCUCAUCUGUCCAGAUCCACAGAGGGAAAGUCUGUUCAUCAGCGGAGAAAAACUCUCUUUAUGAACUGUGAAGAAACCCUUAAAGCUCCGGAUGUUGAGCUGGUUCUGGUUCCGGUUCCGUGACGACACAGCUGCUCAUUAGAACUGGAUUUAAUUAGGCUCUCCAUCAGCAGACGGUCGUUCCUGGAGGCUGAGUUUGUUCCUGUCAUGAAGUUUUCACUCAGCAGGUAAAAACUGCGGAUCCAUUUCUGGAUGGAUGAAUGCAGUUUAACCCAGAAUCCUCUGGUUGUGCCUGGAAAGCCGCCAUGUUUGAUGAGAAGCAGAAACUUCAGACUCACGUUGGGAAACAGUUUCCCUACAAGCAUCAACUCAAACAUUCAGACGCUUUCAUUCCUCAGAGACUCAAACACUUUCAGUUCAGUUUCUCUAAAACAGUUUGUUGAACGUUAAUUCAGUUCAGAUUAGAGCCGGCGGCGGCGGCGGCGGCUCGGCGUGUAAACAUGAGAAUCAGACAAAUUCAACUUCUUCAGCUCGAUUCUCUGAUGUUUCACACAAAUUCAAAAUGUCUGAAUCCUUUUCUGAAAAACAACAACAUGGUUUUACUGCCUGAUUGUAACUUUUCCUGAACUGAAGCUGAACUUGGAUCAUGAACUGUUCCUGAGCAGCAGCUCAGGGCUUCCUCCACUGGUGGGAUUGGAAUCGAUCAAUCAAUCGAUCGAUCGAUCACCAAGUGGUUUAUGAUCAAUAUGAUGAAACCUGAGCUUCAGAGUCUCCUGCAGCGGCGCCGGAUGAAAACCGGCUCCAGUCGGACCAACAUCCAUCUGGUUUCUCUGUUUCUGUUGGACCGAAACACGGCAGACAUCCUCACACGUUUCAGAAAGCUGGAACAUCCGUCACCUGCUUUUAUCUUAACGCCAGCAGAUAUUUGGCGCCUCCAACACUGAAUGUGAUAAAAACACAAAGUUUUAAGCUGAAAUAAUAAUAAUAAAUUUCUCCCCGUCUCCCCCCCUCCUGCUGCUCUCGGUUCUGGCCCAAAUUUGGUGCCGUCGGCCUCUGAAAAGGCAUUUCCUCCUGACUGCCAGCAUCUUGAUUUUCCCACAGGAAAAUAAAAACAUAAACUCUGACAUGUUUUGAGAUGAAGGGAUCAGGACUCCCUGGGAUCCUCUGUGCUAAACCAACUCAGCCUGACGGGGAAACGCAGAAUGAAAACAUGAAACGACAAAGUGAAAACAUGAACAGUCAACAACUGACCGGACAGUUUGACCAGAGGCAUCGCCGAAACCUCAACACAUGAAAUAUGUUGAUGAUGUCUCCUUUAAGGAGCUCAGUGUUUCGGCUGUUUUGCAGUUUGCUGGAAGUUUGUUCCAGA